RNAcentral lists this unclassified non-coding RNA (304 nucleotides) under Hevea brasiliensis (rubber tree). Lineage: Eukaryota; Viridiplantae; Streptophyta; Magnoliopsida; Malpighiales; Euphorbiaceae. The record is from RNAcentral.
AAUAAGGAGAAGGCAGAGGAAGAAGAUUUGGUCCUUCAGAUACUGCAAUCAUUUAUUUCUCAAAGUGAAUGGGUUUGAAAUGAGAAGGCAGAGAAAGAAAAUCAGGCCCUUGCUGCAGCUAUUUGUUUGCCAAAUGACUUUCCAAUUUCUGGUUCCAGUGUUAUGUUGCUGCAACAGAGGUUGCAAACAAUGCUCACCAACAAAGUUCCAGCUGAGGCGCAACUUGGGAAGUCAGAACCUUCAUUCCCACUGGCUCAGUUCCUGAUUUUCAAACCUUCUUGGGACAAGAAGGUUCUAAAGGGAG